This 440-nucleotide ribosomal RNA is filed under the name uncultured bacterium. RNAcentral's name for it is "bacterial SSU rRNA". It matches the Rfam family "Bacterial small subunit ribosomal RNA", at positions 28 to 457 of the family's 1533-position model. The record is from RNAcentral.
GAUGAACGCUAGCGAUAGGCCUAACACAUGCAAGUCGAGGGGCAGCAUAAGGAAGUAGCAAUACUUUCUGGUGGCGACCGGCGCACGGGUGAGUAACACGUAUGCAACCUGCCUUCAACAAGGGCAUAACCCGUUGAAAGACGGACUAAUACCCUAUAAUACAGGGGCCCCGCAUGGGGAUAUUUGUUAAAGAUUUAUCGGUUGAAGAUGGGCAUGCGUUCCAUUAGCUGGUUGGUGGGGUAACGGCCCACCAAGGCAACGAUGGAUAGGGGAACUGAGAGGUUUAUCCCCCACACUGGUACUGAGACACGGACCAGACUCCUACGGGAGGCAGCAGUGAGGAAUAUUGGUCAAUGGACGCAAGUCUGAACCAGCCACGUCGCGUGAAGGAAGACGGCCCUACGGGUUGUAAACUCUUUUAUACGGGAAUAAAGUGCCCC